AACCACUCACGCCUGGCGUGGUAUUGGGGCACGCGGUCUCCGCGGCCCUCAAAAUUAGUGGCGGUGCCGGUGGGCUCUAAGCGUAGUACAUACUCCCGCUAUAGAGUUCCCCCGGUGGCUCGCCAGAACCCCCAAUUUUUACA
This 143-nucleotide unclassified non-coding RNA is filed under the name uncultured Phialocephala. Its description in RNAcentral is "sequence contains ITS2". The record is from RNAcentral. Lineage: Eukaryota; Fungi; Ascomycota; Leotiomycetes; Helotiales.